RNAcentral lists this ribosomal RNA (465 nucleotides) under uncultured bacterium. Its description in RNAcentral is "bacterial SSU rRNA". It matches the Rfam family "Bacterial small subunit ribosomal RNA", at positions 29 to 531 of the family's 1533-position model. The record is from RNAcentral.
AACUAACGCUGGCGGCAGGCUUAACACAUGCAAGUCGAACGCUCGUAGCAAUACGGGAGUGGCGGACGGGUGAGUAACGCGUGGGAACGUGCCCUGAGGUACGGAAUAACUGCGGGAAACUGCAGCUAAUACCGUAUGAGCCCCGUGAGGGGAAAGGAUUUAUCGCCUUAGGAGCGGCCCGCGUCGGAUUAGCUAGUUGGUGGGGUAACGGCUUACCAAGGCUUCGAUCCGUAGCUGGUCUGAGAGGACGAUCAGCCACACUGGGACUGAGACACGGCCCAGACUCCUACGGGAGGCAGCAGUGGGGAAUCUUGCGCAAUGGGGGCGAACCCUGACGCAGCCAUGCCGCGUGAAUGAUGAAGGCCUUAGGGUUGUAAAGUUCUUUUGUCCCGUGACGAUGAUGACGGUAACGGGAGAAUAAGCUCCGGCUAACUUCGUGCCAGCAGCCGCGGUAAAGUCUGUACU